This 253-nucleotide ribosomal RNA is filed under the name uncultured bacterium. Its description in RNAcentral is "partial 16S ribosomal RNA". It matches the Rfam family "Bacterial small subunit ribosomal RNA", at positions 524 to 776 of the family's 1533-position model. The record is from RNAcentral.
GACGUAGGGUGCGAGCGUUGUCCGGAUUUAUUGGGCGUAAAGAGCUCGUAGGCGGCUCGUCGCGUCGACCGUGAAAACCCGCGGCUUAACUGCGGGCUUGCGGUUGAUACGGGCGGGCUAGAGUUCGGUAGGGGAGACUGGAAUUCCUGGUGUAGCGGUGAGAUGCGCAGAUAUCAGGAGGAACACCGGUGGCGAAGGCGGGUCUCUGGGCCGAUACUGACGCUGAGGAGCGAAAGCGUGGGGAGCGAACAGG